GCGUGAGGGAGGAGGCUCUUGGGUUGUAAACCUCUUUUCUUUGGGAAGAA
This 50-nucleotide ribosomal RNA is filed under the name uncultured Plectonema sp. Its description in RNAcentral is "partial 16S ribosomal RNA". Lineage: Bacteria; Bacillati; Cyanobacteriota; Cyanophyceae; Oscillatoriales; Microcoleaceae. The record is from RNAcentral.